UAUAUAUAUUACAUUGAUGACAGGAAAUGAGCAUGUCUACAAACAGCAAUAAAACCACGAGUGUUUUUAUGCAUGCGUGCGUGUGUGUGUGUGUGUGUGUGUUUAAUGGAUCAUUCAAGCUUAAGGCACCACUAAAACAGGAUCAUGUCAUGUGUGAGGGACGAGAAUGGAAGCUGCUAGCGUGUAGAGGAGAAACUAUAAAUAUUAGAUUCAACAGAAGGUCACUCCAAUACACGCCGAGUAUAGCGGGACCAGUCAGCGCUCACUAAUCAGGUGAUAUUUAUGCUCGUCUGACAUGACUUGCUGUUCCGUGCGUCCGUGGACUGGCAGCGUUAAGAAUGAGUUCAUAUCAGUUUGCAAGGAACAAAAACAAACUGACAAAAAAUUUAUAUAGAUGAUAGAUAUUUCCAUAUGGUAUAUUUACGCACAGGAACAGCAAGUAAAUAAGCAUUAUAUAAUUUGAAGCUUUAAUUCAGUUUUAUUAAGGUCAUGUGGGAGUUUAUGCAAAGCAUUCAACACCAAAUUACCAUAUGGUGCAUAUCUUCAAUUAGUAUAUUUACGCAUAGAAGUAAAGAAGCAGUAUAAAAUGUGAAGAUUUAAUUAGACUUUAUUUCAUCCAUGUUCAAGGCAAAGUAAUAAACUGUAAGUUACCAUGUAUAAGCAGAAAGGUAAAGACGCAAGGCAUAUACACGUUAAUAAAGUUGGAAGGAGAUAAUGGUGUAGUACAUCCUGCCCUGCCCUUGUAUCCAACACUGUGGGCAGGAAAGUAAGAUUGAUCCAAUGUAUACAAAGCGAAACAAACGUGGCCACUAUGUCUUAGGGCCAAACAAUUAUGCCAAAGAGCACAUAGGAUACACAGUA
This is a long non-coding RNA of Scylla paramamosain (green mud crab), 861 nucleotides long. RefSeq lists it as uncharacterized. The record is from RefSeq and is a predicted model, not a curated record. NCBI's taxonomy places the organism in Eukaryota, Metazoa, Arthropoda, Malacostraca, Decapoda, Portunidae. The transcript is spliced from 3 exons.